CUUAUCCGACAGCCCUUGCGCGGGCGCACUGUGACGUCCCUGAUUGUGAGCAUGGCUGUCCAGCUUCGGGCCCGCCGAAAUCGAGCCAGAACUAGGGCCAGACGGCUGCAAAGUUCUGCGCGAGCCUCGGGGCGCUCUGUUUAAGCCCAGCCUGUUUGUGGCUGACCUCGGGAGAGGACCGCAUUGCUUUUGGAAGGAAUGCUGGCCUGGAGGUCAGGCGGCUAAGGGCUCCAUCUAGUUUUGUUUGUGCCAUGAAAAUGGGGUUGAGGAAGGGUGUGGGGCAAUGGUUCUUAAUUCUGUGCCGUUCACAUUAUUGCAAACUCGAUCUUUUAUGAGAAAUCUUAGUGGUUUUAUAAUAAACGAUUUUUAC
This is a long non-coding RNA of Myotis brandtii (Brandt's bat), 370 nucleotides long. RefSeq lists it as uncharacterized. Lineage: Eukaryota; Metazoa; Chordata; Mammalia; Chiroptera; Vespertilionidae. The record is from RefSeq and is a predicted model, not a curated record. The transcript is spliced from 2 exons.